AGGAUGAAUAAGAGAUACUUACAGAAAGCAACAAAAGGAAAACUGCUAAUAAUAAUAUUUGUUGUAACGCUGUGGGGAAAAUUAGCAUCCGGGGCAAAUCAUCAUAAAGCUCACCAUGUUAAAACUGGGACCUGUGAAGUGGUGGCACUCCACAGAUGUUGCAAUAAGAACAAGAUAGAAGAAAGAUCACAGACGGUGAAGUGCUCCUGCUUCCCUGGGCAGGUAGCAGGUACCACCCGGGCAGCUCCUUCUUGUGUCGAUGCUUCAAUAGUGGAGCAGAAAUGGUGGUGCCACAUGCAACCAUGUCUUGAAGGGGAGGAAUGUAAAGUUCUUCCAGAUCGUAAGGGAUGGAGCUGUUCCUCUGGGAAUAAAGUGAAAACAACUAGGGCAAACGUGUAAAAGUCCUCAAGUCCGAAUGGAGAAGUAGAGAAAGGAGGUUUCUGCUGUGCCUGAUGACAAUUUUUGAUUUUUCCACACACACAAAAUAUUCUGGCUCCACGUUGGAGCACUAGUUGUGAUGAAUCCUAGUCUUGGUCGGAUUCUAAGGAAGGGCCAGAACGUUCGUUGAGGAAUAAAGAGUCAAACAACUCCAGAAAAUGUGUUCCAGCCCUGGUUUAUUACUCACAGAGCAGCAGGUAACCCGAUAGCUAAAGACAAAUCAAGUCAGUCUCAAGGCUGAUAACAUUAAAUACAACACAUAGGAAUUUCAUUCCUCCAGGCAAUCCUUGAAGUAAAAUUUUAUACUGCUGGGGUGUAUCCUUCAAAAUCAAUUGUUUCAUUGAGAACCUGGCUUGUAAUCAGCAACAGCCUUGAGAUCAAAACUACUGGAAAGUUAUUCUGAACUUCUGUGUCACAAAGAUUUCAACUGAUUGAACUGUGUACACUUGUAAAAUUGCACUUGCUGAGGAAUUUGCAGCUGUAAUCACAAGAGUUGAUAUUCAAAGGUUGCAGAAACGCAUCAAUCUUUUGGAUUCUCCAUUGCAGACCGGUGGCUUUUCAUCUUGAUGAACUCAACCUCCAAAAUGUAAUGGUUCCUUGUCUCUAAAAUGAUCCCUGGCCCACCAUUCAGAUUCCUGGUGGAACUGCACAGUGCUUUAAUUAAAUUUCUGUUGCAGAAAUUGUCCUCUGGCAUGGCGCAGUUUUAGACAUUUUUAUUUGUAUUCUAAUCUUGGAAUUCUCAAAGGUACAUAUUUCAACAUCUUGAAGUUGCUUUUGUUAUAGGAAUGGAAAUAUAUAUCCAUUGUUAAUAAUUAUUGUUGACAAGUAAUAGUUAUCUGAAUGCAUCAGUCAUAUUAGAAUGUACAGUCAGGUUGACAUGUUUUGCUAAGGCUAACCAACUACUGCAGCUCUGGCAGUGGUCAAAACUCAAUUAACACUUCCAUUAUAAGGCAUUUUAUACCUUUAAGAUACACAUUUCCAUUUAGUUUGAAGGAGAUGGGUGUUCCUGAUAUGUACUUUACUUUCCCAACCUUCAAUUCAUUGAAAUUCAUGAUAAGCCGUCAAUGACAGUAUUUCAUCCCUUUUUAUAAAGGUAGGCAGGGGUGUAAAUGAGUUUUGCAAUUAUGAAAAUGGAUGGUAAUCAUUCAGAUUUUUUGUCUUUUUAUUAAAAAUAAAAUCUCUUGCUUGAACCUAAGUACUGUUGGAUGCUUAUGUAGAUGUCUGCUCAGUCUGUUUGCUAUAAAGGAAAAAAGUCCUAGUGCCCGCCCAGAUUUACAGUUUGUGGGUGUUUUGCUUGCUUACAGUCAUCCAGUUCAGAUCUGAUCCUUACCAAAAUCACACUUACUUUUUUAGGUUUUGUUUCAGUAGCAAUUUUUGAACUUUGUGAUGUGCUGUUACAUAAAAAAAAUCAUCAAUAUUUAAAGGCCUUAAGCAUCUAUGAGAUUUUUUCUAAGUUAUUACAGAAUGUAUAAUUUUAUACUCCAUUUAAUGUAUAUUGUACCAUCUGUAAUAUUGAUACAACAGAAAUUUGGCAAUUCCUUUUAGUGACACUGCAUAAGCAUGCUGACUGGAGAGGCUGAGGGAGUUCUGACUGUAUGCUUUGGUGCAUUGAAAUGAAAACCACACACUCUUUAUGGUAGUCAAAAAUAUAUAGAGGCAACCUUAUUUAAAAGUCCUGUGUGGUUACCAUACUCCCAGAAAAAGAAGGAAAUUAUUUUAUCAUUGCAAACCAUUGACAUGGCUAGAUGGUUAUAUAUUAAGCUCCAUGAUGAAUGAACACCCUGGAGUGCUCUGCCUGUCACAGUAGCCCCUGCUGUUCCAAAACCAUUUCAUUACCUCUGCUGUAUUAUUGCACAGGAGAGCUUAAAUAAAAUAAAUGACUGUUGGGAAUAAAACUGAGAAGUAUAUUCUGUCAUUCUGCUAAGAAAUAAUAAAAAAUGUUGGCAGGGAAAGAUAUUAUUUUCUGAUUAAAAUUUAAUUAGGAUAAACUGUUUGUAGCAGCAACUAGGUAUCUCAGUAUUUUAGGAUGGAUUUUAAUAUUGUAUAGAUUCAUGCUAACAGGUGCAGGACAGAAGGUAGCAUCUUAAAGAGAUUGUCUGGGACAGUGCAAAGUGUAAAUGUGCUUUUUUGUAAAAUCUGAAUAUGGCCUCUCUUUAGUCAAAAACCUACAACAUGCUUCUCAAUAUUUGUUUUCUUUGUUUCUUUGUUCUUAAACCAACACUGAAAAUACUGUAUUAUAUACAAGUGUAGCACAUGCAUAUCAAUAAGUGAAAAUAAAUGGAUUUUCAAAUAUACUGAAUAGAUGAUCUGCAGUAGAUUAAUGUUGUGAAUAUUCAUAGCAAGUGAAUAAAAUUGUAAUAUAAAAUAGA
This is an RNA transcript of Athene cunicularia (burrowing owl), 2807 nucleotides long. It is a transcript of the gene named family with sequence similarity 19 member A2, C-C motif chemokine like, with no coding region annotated. The record is from RefSeq and is a predicted model, not a curated record. The transcript is spliced from 5 exons. Lineage: Eukaryota; Metazoa; Chordata; Aves; Strigiformes; Strigidae.